CUCUCUCUCUCUCCAGCUAUCCCUCUCUCUCAUCCGACUCCUUCUCUCUCCGGACGUCGCCGCACCACCGCCGCCACGACGCCACAGUCGCCGGAACCCCAAUCCUCACCAAAAUUUCUAGAUUUUCUCCUUUUCAUUCCCUCUUCCUAUUUCUCCAAUCAAAAUCAUGAACUUUGGCCAUUCAAUCCUCCAAAAACCCUAGAACCCAAAGCCAAUUUGGGGCUUUUUGUGAUUUCUUCAUUCGAGGUUCAAAUCAAGGCUACGGGUUUGGUAAGGAUUUGUGGUGAAGAAGGCCAAGGAGGAGAAAUAGGCCAUGAGUUUUGAAGAAGAAAGGGUUACAACGAGGUCACUCCAGAAGAUCUAGACUAGAAGUGGGUCGUUGGCUGAGUCCGUGUGUUGCUGUCCCUGUUGCUUGAAGUUCUUCCCUUUUGGUACUCUAUUGAUUUACUCGCUUUUCUUUCAAUGUUGAACUCUGUGAGGUUCGCCUAUCUGGGAGCGCGCCUCACCCUUUGUUUUAUUGUUGUUGUUGAACUCUUCUGAUUUCGGUUAUGA
This is a long non-coding RNA of Rosa chinensis, 552 nucleotides long. RefSeq lists it as uncharacterized. The transcript has 4 exons. The record is from RefSeq and is a predicted model, not a curated record. NCBI's taxonomy places the organism in Eukaryota, Viridiplantae, Streptophyta, Magnoliopsida, Rosales, Rosaceae.